Molecule: ribosomal RNA, 162 nt
Filed under: uncultured bacterium
Lineage: Bacteria
Description: partial 16S ribosomal RNA
Rfam family: Bacterial small subunit ribosomal RNA
Source: RNAcentral
UAAUCGCAGAUCAGAAUGCUGCGGUGAAUACGUUCCCGGGUCUUGUACACACCGCCCGUCACACCAUGGGAGUCGGAAAUGCCCGAAGCCGGUGACCCAACCAAAAGGAGGGAGCCGUCGAAGGCAGGUCUGAUAACUGGGGUGAAGUCGUAACAAGGUAGC